UACGUAGGGGGCAAGCGUUGUCCGGAUUUAUUGGGCGUAAAGAGCGUGUAGGCGGCCAGGUAGGUCCGCUGUGAAAACUCGAGGCUCAACCUCGAGAUGUCGGCGGAAACCAUCUGGCUAGAGUCCGGAAGAGGAGAGUGGAAUUCCUGGUGUAGCGGUGAAAUGCGCAGAUAUCGGGAAGAACACCCGUGGCGAAGGCGGUUCUCUGGGACGGUACUGACGCUGAGACGCGAAAGCGUGGGGAGCGAACAGG
This 253-nucleotide ribosomal RNA is filed under the name uncultured bacterium. Its description in RNAcentral is "partial 16S ribosomal RNA". It matches the Rfam family "Bacterial small subunit ribosomal RNA", at positions 524 to 776 of the family's 1533-position model. The record is from RNAcentral.